UGCUCCCGACGAGCUGGCUGUCGCCUUGCAUGGUCGACUCUGCCGUCGGCGUGUCAAUCUGUGUAUUAACCGAUGUAAGUCGCUUUGGAUAAAAGCGUCUGCUAAAUGCCCUAAUUGUAAUUGAUCUUCAAACUAGUAUGUUUGGAGAAGCUCCCUUGUUGAUGGUGCUAUCCGAGUCCACUCUGAUUGCUGAGGAGUAUGAGUCGGAUAGCUUCCAUUGACAUCAAUGUUUUUUACAACCCUUUGCAUCGAGCUUAGCAGACAUCUUCUACAGUGGGAACAUUUUGUAUCUUUAAUGUAACCUUAAAUAUCUCAGGGGCUUUAUUCAGCUACAUUUAUAAUAAUUUAAUGUUAUUUCAUGGUACGUGUAUGUAACCUGUAUGACUCACUGGUGUAAAUAAAGGUAUUCAUUUUUUUCUUGGCAUCAGCCAAUCACAAACUCUUUCAGUAAUAGCCCUGCCCUCUAAUUGUCAUUAUAGUUGAUCACAAACAUCUGUGAGGCCUCUGAACGACAAGCACUGAAUGACAAGCACAUGCUCCAGGAUCUUGAGCUAUCGAAGAUUGCCUUGUUCCAAGCCUCAUUCCUGGAAAUUCAAGAAAUUGUCUUCUACAAUUGGAGCUGCUGCUGGCCAUGUUUUGACUGCUUGCUUCCAUACAAGUUUAAUGUUUCAUUUUCUCGUAUUGGAUUGCAUGUUUUAUUUUGUA
Gadus macrocephalus (Pacific cod) is the source of this 705-nucleotide long non-coding RNA. RefSeq lists it as uncharacterized. The transcript has 2 exons. The record is from RefSeq and is a predicted model, not a curated record. Lineage: Eukaryota; Metazoa; Chordata; Actinopteri; Gadiformes; Gadidae.